Molecule: ribosomal RNA, 253 nt
Filed under: uncultured bacterium
Lineage: Bacteria
Description: partial 16S ribosomal RNA
Rfam family: Bacterial small subunit ribosomal RNA
Source: RNAcentral
UACGGAGGGUGCAAGCGUUGCUCGGAAUCAUUGGGCGUAAAGGGCGCGUAGGCGGGCGCGUAAGUCGAUUGUGAAAGCCCUGGGCUUAACCCGGGAACUGCAGUCGAUACUGCGUGUCUUGAGUGCUUGAGAGGGUACUGGAAUUCCUGGUGUAGAAGUGAAAUUCGUAGAUAUCAGGAGGAACACCGGAGGCGAAGGCGGGUACCUGGCGAGCAACUGACGCUGAGGCGCGAAAGUGCGGGGAGCAAACAGG